This 434-nucleotide ribosomal RNA is filed under the name Cherax wasselli. RNAcentral's name for it is "partial 16S ribosomal RNA". It matches the Rfam family "Bacterial large subunit ribosomal RNA", at positions 1933 to 2574 of the family's 2925-position model. Lineage: Eukaryota; Metazoa; Arthropoda; Malacostraca; Decapoda; Parastacidae. The record is from RNAcentral.
GCGGUAUUAUGACCGUGCGAAGGUAGCAUAAUCAUUAGUCUUUUAAUUGAAGGCUGGUAUGAAUGGUUGGACGAGAAAUGAGCUGUCUUUAAUUUAAAAAUUGAAUUUAACUUUUAAGUGAAAAGGCUUAAAUGAGUCAGAGGGACGAUAAGACCCUAUAAAGUUUGUACAGCGAGUUAGUAUGAAAUAGGUUAGAUGGGUAAAGUUUGUUACUAAGGAGAUGUUUGGUUGGGGCGAUUAGAAUAUAGGUGAAGUAACUGUUUCUUUUUUUGAGUCAAAAAUUUUUGAUUUAAUGACCCUUAAUAAGGAUUAUGAAAGCAAGUUACUUUAGGGAUAACAGCGUAAUUUUUUUUGAGAGUUCUUAUCGACAAAAGAGUUUGCGACCUCGAUGUUGAAUUAAAAUUUCUUUGUAAUGUAGCAGUUACAUUAGGAGG